AGUGACCCUCCGCCUCCGUUGUUCCGUUAAAUGUUCCGUUAGAACCGGUGGAAAGAACCGACAGUAAAUUGAAGGUAAUUCCACAAAUGAAGGCAGGAAUCACAGAAAUCCGUCCGCCGUCUGUCGGCAGCUCAAAUCCGGAGAUUACAGCACCGAUUUAUCACCGUCGCUCCGCGUCCGACCCCCGCAUCCCCCGCAUCCCCCGCAUUCACCGCAUCCACACCGGCUGCUCCCGCUGCUGCAGGCCGGCGGACAGGCGCUUCUUCCCGGUAGAGACCCGCAGCUGCUCCCCGGGUCCAAAAACAGCCCAGAAGAUAAUGAAGGAAAGUCGGAUUAUUACCGGGAAUGUCAGGGAUCACCGACACUUCCUGUCUUCACCUUCAAAAUAAAAUACUUACACUGGCAGCGCGUUUCCUCCCGCUGGUGUCAGUUUGAAUCGUACAAUGCCCCAGAUUCCGGUCGCCUUCGUUGACCUCCGCGAGCUUCCCGCCUCCGUCGGAGCGUCAGGUCCGGUCCGGUUCUGCUGUGUCUGCGCUCAGGAGCCCGCGCGGUGCAUGCUGGGAGGGGGAGUAUCUCACACAUAUUAUCUGAUCUGGACCAGGACCCAGAUGUGGACCAGCACCCUGAUCUGAACCAGGACCCAGAUGUGGACCAGCACCCUGAUCUGAACCAGGACCCAGAUGUGGACCAGGACCCAGAUGUGGACCAGGACCCAGAUGUGGACCAGCACCCUGAUGUGGACCAGGACCUGCAGAGAUCCUGUCUGACCACCAGAGGAAUCACUCUGAUUCAAAACCCUGAAACUUUAUGUGAACACAAGCGAACCAGAGCCCGUGUACCGAGAGCCUGGCCUCUCCCCCUAAGGUCCCAUUGUACCGAAUACUGGUUGCAGUUCCAGCAGAGGUCCACUGGGGGCGCUCUCCCAUCAGUGCAGAAUGAAUGGGAGCAGAUGGAGCUGAUUGUGGUUGAGAGAUCUCAGAUGUGAUUGUAGUUUUUAAAGUUCAACAUGGGUUAUAGGUCGAAAGCUGAAUGAACGAGUUCUGAUGUCCUUUAGAUUUCUUACAGGACGAGUUGUUGUUGCCCAUAACGCGCUAGCAUUCUGCUAAUGAACGCUGAUUGGUCAGUGAAGGACUGAUUACGACCAGAGAUCCCGCUCGAGUACACCCAGCAAUGUGUCAUUUCUUUGCAUCCCCUUUCGAAUGCAACAUUCAAAUUACUAGACAAACACUGAUAUCCUGAGAGAAGAGGAUUGUGAGGGUAUAGCUCCAUAGAGCUCCAUUCAUUCUGCACUCAUCCUGUGAGCGCCCUCACAUGGAGCCAGAGGGGAACUGCAACAGUUCAGGAGUUCUCUCAUUGUUAGACGUUCUCUGGUAACGCUUAACAGACCUACAGUGGAUAAUAUGUCAGCAGCUGAUGCUAACGUUAGCUAAAUGGUAGCUACAGCUAUCAAAGUUGAAUAUUGUGUAAACAAACUUGGAUUUUACUUUGUAUGUGUUCAUAAUAACAAUAACAACAACAACAUCAAUAACAACAAUAACAAAAUGACAUUUUUUGACAAUUUUAGACAAAUAAAAGAUGAAAACAAUAUUUAAAAGGACGAUUCGAGAUAAAGUUUAAAAGCUUUAAUGACAUCGCACAUAUUUGACAGAGAGAGAGACAGAGAGAGAGACAGAGAGAGAGAGAGAGAGAGAGAGAGAGAGAGAGAGAGAGAGAGAGAGACAGAGAGAGAGAGAGAGAGAGAGAGAGAGAGAGACAGAGAGAGAGACAGAGAGAGAGACAGAGAGAGAGAGACAGAGAGAGAGACAGAGAGAGAGAGAGACAGAGAGAGAGAGAGACAGAGACAGAGACAGAGAGACAGAGAGAGAGAGAGAGACAGAGAGAGAGAGAGAGAGAGAGAGAGAGAGAGAGAGAGAGAGCUUUAAAGUCUACAGGUGCAGUUUCAUACAUGAGAAAAGCUUUUAUGAUCUAACUUCUGCUUAAAUAUUCGGCCUCAAACAGCUUCUUCUUCUUCAUUCCUAUAGAUGUAGUUCUGAUUGUGCAGUAAGAUGGCGUUAACUUCCAUACAUGUUCAGUACGAUAGAUAUACAGUGACAGAGCAA
Molecule: long non-coding RNA, 2099 nt
Organism: Dicentrarchus labrax (European seabass)
Lineage: Eukaryota; Metazoa; Chordata; Actinopteri; Moronidae
Exons: 2
Source: RefSeq, a predicted model, not a curated record